Molecule: ribosomal RNA, 949 nt
Filed under: Didymella coffeae-arabicae
Lineage: Eukaryota; Fungi; Ascomycota; Dothideomycetes; Pleosporales; Didymellaceae
Description: eukaryotic LSU rRNA
Rfam family: Eukaryotic large subunit ribosomal RNA
Source: RNAcentral
CCUAGUAACGGCGAGUGAAGCGGCAACAGCUCAAAUUUGAAAUCUGGCGUCUUCGGCGUCCGAGUUGUAAUUUGCAGAGGGCGCUUUGGCAUUGGCAGCGGUCCAAGUUCCUUGGAACAGGACGUCACAGAGGGUGAGAAUCCCGUACGUGGUCGCUAGCCUUUACCGUGUAAAGCCCCUUCGACGAGUCGAGUUGUUUGGGAAUGCAGCUCUAAAUGGGAGGUAAAUUUCUUCUAAAGCUAAAUACUGGCCAGAGACCGAUAGCGCACAAGUAGAGUGAUCGAAAGAUGAAAAGCACUUUGGAAAGAGAGUUAAAAAGCACGUGAAAUUGUUGAAAGGGAAGCGCUUGCAGCCAGACUUGCCUGUAGUUGCUCAUCCGGGUUUCUACCCGGUGCACUCUUCUAUAGGCAGGCCAGCAUCAGUUUGGGCGGUUGGAUAAAGGUCUCUGUCAUGUACCUCUCUUCGGGGAGAACUUAUAGGGGAGACGACAUGCAACCAGCCUGGACUGAGGUCCGCGCAUCUGCUAGGAUGCUGGCGUAAUGGCUGUAAGCGGCCCGUCUUGAAACACGGACCAAGGAGUCUAACAUCUAUGCGAGUGUUUGGGUGUCAAGCCCGAGCGCGUAAUGAAAGUGAACGGAGGUGGGAACCUUUCGGGGUGCACCAUCGACCGAUCCUGAUGUCUUCGGAUGGAUUUGAGUAAGAGCAUAGCUGUUGGGACCCGAAAGAUGGUGAACUAUGCUUGAAUAGGGUGAAGCCAGAGGAAACUCUGGUGGAGGCUCGCAGCGGUUCUGACGUGCAAAUCGAUCGUCAAAUUUGGGCAUAGGGGCGAAAGACUAAUCGAACUAUCUAGUAGCUGGUUCCUGCCGAAGUUUCCCUCAGGAUAGCAGUAACGUUUUCAGUUUUAUGAGGUAAAGCGAAUGAUUAGAGGCCUGGGGGUUGAAACAACCUU